CUGUAAUUGGAGGCGUUGAACCUACCUUUCCUAUAUGGGCGCCAUGGUUGGUAGGGGAGCUAGUGGCGCAACCAGCCAACUUACUA
Molecule: non-coding RNA, 86 nt
Submitted as: unclassified sequences
Source: Rfam